AUGGGAAAAGCUGGGGAGGUGGCGGCUUAUUUUUUAAGCUGCCAAAAGAAUCAAUUUACUUACCAUGACAACUCGUCAUUGUUUUAUUGCAGCCCAAACUCUACGAACUUCCAUGAAUAUACCUUGCCUGAAAAUGUACACAGCGUAGUCCCAUCAGGAUUUAUGAUGCAUGUUAAAUAUUUACAAGCCGGUGGAUAUCCUAAGCCACCACCACUUAUGCUCGAAGUCUGUGGGAAAUUGUGUGAUACAUUUGAAGAGGUUUUUGGUCAACUUCUUCCUUAUAAGGGCUGUGAUUGCAAUAUCAAUCACCGUACUUCUGGGGAGGAGGUCUGGGCUAAACUUCCGAAAGGUGUUGUUACAAAUAUCGGCCGGCGUGUUGUCACACUUUCUUCAUACGAUGGAGACGUGAGAGUUUUUGCAUGUACAGGCCUACUUAUAAAGUGGCAUAAAAAUGGCACGCCUGUUAUUCUGACUUCGGCCAGUUUGGUUAGAAGUCUGGUUGAUGAAGACAAGAUUGAUGAAAAAAUGAAGAUUAAAGUAUUUCUCCCACCGAAACAGAUCACUGAUGGGACAUUGGAACUGUACCAUUCAGAUUAUAACAUUGCUGUCAUCAAUGUUCAGAAGUGCCUAUAUGGUAUUCGUCCGGAGAAUAUUUUCCGCAAGGUGAAAAGACCACGUAGAGAAGUGGUAGCUAUAGGGCGCGAUGUUGAUGAUGGAUUAUUAAUGGGGACAAUUGGUAAAGUGAUUAAGACGCCUGCGAACAGACCUUGCAAACUUAACUGCAAAGACCUUAAGCUGUCUACAUGUAAAAUCAAGAAGGCUGGGAUUGGAGGACCCCUUGUUAAUUUCGUUAAUGGAUCUUUUGCUGGCAUGAACUUCUAUGAUAGAACUAAUAGAACUCCUUACCUGCCAAGGAGAAUCAUUGUACAAGUUUUAAGGGGGAUUGAUCUCCCAUCUCAAAGAGGAAUAAACCAUCCCACAGACAUAAUGGGUGAUGCCGCAGUUAAGGAAAACAGGUGGUCGGUUCCUAAACCAUAUUGGUAUCAUCCUCUAUUCGAUGAGGAUCCUCCUCUGCGUUUUGUUGGAAGGCAACUCCACUAG
RNAcentral lists this ribosomal RNA (1101 nucleotides) under Triticum aestivum (bread wheat). RNAcentral's name for it is "partial small subunit ribosomal RNA". The record is from RNAcentral. Lineage: Eukaryota; Viridiplantae; Streptophyta; Magnoliopsida; Poales; Poaceae.